Molecule: ribosomal RNA, 292 nt
Filed under: uncultured Ralstonia sp.
Lineage: Bacteria; Pseudomonadati; Pseudomonadota; Betaproteobacteria; Burkholderiales; Burkholderiaceae
Description: partial 16S ribosomal RNA
Rfam family: Bacterial small subunit ribosomal RNA
Source: RNAcentral
GUGUCAGCCGCCGCGGUAAUACGUAGGGUCCAAGCGUUAAUCGGAAUUACUGGGCGUAAAGCGUGCGCAGGCGGUUGUGCAAGACCGAUGUGAAAUCCCCGGGCUUAACCUGGGAAUUGCAUUGGUGACUGCACGGCUAGAGUGUGUCAGAGGGGGGUAGAAUUCCACGUGUAGCAGUGAAAUGCGUAGAGAUGUGGAGGAAUACCGAUGGCGAAGGCAACCCCCUGGGAUAACACUGACGCUCAUGCACGAAAGCGUGGGGAGCAAACAGGAUUAGAAACCCGCGUAGUCC